Long non-coding RNA from Saccoglossus kowalevskii, 628 nucleotides. The record is from RefSeq and is a predicted model, not a curated record. Lineage: Eukaryota; Metazoa; Hemichordata; Enteropneusta; Harrimaniidae.
UGUUACGCAAUUCCUUAUUCACCUUAUCUCCAAGUGGAGUAUAGCCAGCAGUUUGAUCCUUUUCCACACGAGUCAUGGGCUGAAUUAAGCUGUUCUAGUGAUAGUUAUGAAGUACAAGGUGAAAAGCGAACACAGUGUCUGUUUGGGGACUGGACAUAUCCUCAACCAACUUGUAUUGCAGCCUCUUGUUCGAUAGCAGACAGUGAACUACCUGCGCAUAGUACAGUGAAUACUAAUGAAAUAGCCCAUGGCAGCAGUAUAAAUUAUGGUUGUGAAGAGGGAUAUCAAAUACAGGAUUCUGCAAAUGAGGAUUUUAUCAAUAUUUUAUGUCACUAUGGCCUAUGGAGCAGAACACUUCCUGUAUGCGUUGAAGCUAAGUGUACGCUACUCAUUGGAGUGACUUAUGAUUAUAGCGUGAUACGAGGUUGGGAGGUCGCACCUGGAAUUGAUGUUACAUUUACCUGUGAUCAAGGUUUUCAGCAAUCUCCUUCAAAUGGGACUGUUAGAUGUCAGAAAGGUGAAUGGCGGCCACAUAUACCACAGUGUGUUCAAGAAGGUUGUGAACUACCAACAGAUAUUGUCCCACCUUUAAAACUUGAAAAUCCACCGAUUGAGUCUAUUGUUCAGC